This 43081-nucleotide long non-coding RNA is filed under the name Coffea arabica (coffee). RNAcentral's name for it is "long non-coding RNA (CARA_LNC002810)". Lineage: Eukaryota; Viridiplantae; Streptophyta; Magnoliopsida; Gentianales; Rubiaceae. The record is from RNAcentral.
UUUGUAUUGCAGCCUUUAGCGCCGCCAUGCAAGCUCUCCGUACUCCUGCACCUCUCCCUCCAACCUUUCACUGGUCUUGCAUGCUUCUGGAGCUGGACUUUCUUGCAUUGUUGGUCUCCGUUUACAUCCGCCGCCGUUGAGAGACGGCAUCUCGAACAUGGUCCUGCCAAAUUUCGCCAGGACGUACUACUGUGUUAUUCUCUGAAAUACUCGAACAUCUUCGCUGAUUUGAUGACGCCAAAAUUCUCCUAAACGUUAAGCUCAUGUUUUUUCGCUUUGUCUUUUCAUGUAUGCGUGUGCGUGUUGUUGUGUGUUUUUGGAAGGAUUGUUAUCCAUGUAUUUUACGAAUGCGUGUAAACACAGGAGAUGUUGUUGUUUUUGCUGUUGUUGUUGUCGGAAAUACGUAGCAUAACUCACCUCAAGGAUGUUUUAUGAUUACCAUGUUCGCACUGUUCCAUUCUUGGAAUGUGGACAUCGUGCUAUAUUUGAAUUUCUGGUUAUACGUAAUUCCGUCUUUUCCUGUUCUGAAGAGUGUAAAGCCUAUUAUUUAUUGGAUUGAUGGCAUUGAAUUAUUUAUUUCACAAAAAAAGAAGAAAAAGAAGAGAGCAGAAAAUUCGAAUGUCAAGCCUAUAAAAUAGUUGACUUGAUAAGUUCCGGAACGAAUGCUGCUCGCUGCGUUCUGUCCUCAUAAUGUUGUUCUUGAACUGCACCUGGGAAAGGAUGGUCUGUGGCUGCAAGAAGAAAAUUAAUCACAAAUUCUGUCACCCUAUCUUGAAAGAAGAUGUCAUGCACAAUGGAACUCUAGUCUUUCACCAGUUCACCAAAUGAGAGAAUAUGGCAACUAUUCUGUUAUUCCUUCCUUUUAUUACAAAAUGCUGUUGAUCAUUUGGUAAUUUUCAGACGAGUAAAAUCUUUAAAUUGCACAUUCAUUCUUGAUUAACUUCAGACAUGACAGAUUGGAUUGAAGAAAAAUUUGCAAUGACAUGACAUACUUGCUAAACAGAAGCUCUGCCACCGGAGAAAACAACAAAAAAGUUACAAUAUUAUCAAAUCAACUGGCAUGCAGACAUAGGAAAAGUAAUGAAGCAGCUUCUAUCGAGUGUGAUCGUCCGCAUAGACAUUAAUUUGUCAAGCAUCAUGCACUGUUCUGCAUUUCCAGUUCACUGACUCUAUCCAAUUUACAUGCUCUGGCAACUUUCUUCUAAACUCACUGCAGUGGAUUGCCACUAAAAUGCCUUCUAUAUUCCAAACACCCCGGAUAUAGAUUGCCAUUUUCACUUUGAUUUUCUUUUUCUUUUUUGGGUUUGAGUGGAAGGAUUGGAGAGCAGGGGUGAGCGUGAUAAACUGCACAAAGAGAUAGGCUAUCAUAUGAGUGGAAGUUAGUCAAGAAACUUGGGCAUCAUCAACAAUGAAUCCACUUCAAUCUAAAGAGAAUCUUACGACAUUUAUUGUUGGUGUUAAACCAUCUGCUCCACCUUAUUCCCUCUAUUUAGGCAAAGAACAAAAAGAAUUAUAAGAAAAGGAUAGCUUAUAUAGACAGACAAACCAAUAAUACGCCAUCUGAUAUUGUGAUUAAAUAUAAGUCCAAGGUGUGAAUUAUGUAACCAUUCUCUUUACAAGUUUUAACCAAUGCCCACUGCUAAGAGCAACCUGAUAUCCAAGUCCAUAAAGCAAUCAUCCUCCCUGAGUUUAUCUGUCACAAUAUAUUGAGAGCAGACAAGCCCAGAACACUUUUUGGCAUAAUCUUGUUCUUGAAAGUGUUGUAAAAUAUAUAGUAUUUCAAAAAUAUUCUUUGUCCCACAUCGGAAAAAUGAGAAGUAUUAUUUCUCUGUCCCACAUUGUCAAGUGAGAAGGGUUGCAGUCUUUGUCCCACAUCGGAAGUGAGAAGGGUUGCACCUCACUCUGAAGUCUAUAAAUAGGAUCCACUUCUCCCUCAGAAAAUCACCCCAGCAGCUUCAGUUAAUAUCUUUUGAUAGCUGCUCUAUCUCUCUCUCUCUCUCUCUUUUAUUUUUUGUUAGUUGAUAUCUUCCUGAUAAUUCUGUUCUCAUCUUCCUUUUUAUAUAUAUAUAUCUGCUGGUUUUAAUUUGCUAGUUCUGGUCCUUCUAGUUUGCAACAAGAAGAAAGGUUGUCUUUCUUGUUCGCAAUAAAUAGAAGAAGGCUUGUUUAAUCCUGGGGAAAUAUUUCAAUACUCUGAAAUAGUUUCUUAGGACAGUGCUACGCACGACUCAAGCAGAUAGUGUUAACAUUGUUGUAGCCAUUUAUCCAACAAUCUAAGAAACUAUGGCAUCUGACAAUGUUAGCACCCCGCAGCCUUCAUCAGCAACUAUUGCAGUGGCACUACCAUUCGCCAAGCCCUUUCCAGAUGUAUCCAAAAUUGAAAUUUUCGCCAAUGAAAAUUUUAAAAGAUGGCAAGAACGUGUGCACUCUCUACUUGACAUUCAUGGAGUAGCUUAUGCGCUCACUGAAUCUCAACCUUCCGCAACUGCGGAUGCCAAGACUCAAGAAGCAUGGCAAUAUGCCAAUAAGGUAUGUCGACACACUAUCCUUCAAACACUCUCUAAUGAAUUAUUUGAUGUCUACUGUAGCAGCAAAGAAGCCAAGGCAAUUUGGGAAGCCUUGGUAACAAAGUUUACUGCCGAAGAUGCAACCAAGCAAAAAUUCGUCGUAGGAAAAUACAACCAAUGGCAAAUGAUUGAUGACAAGGAGAUGAAAAUCCAAAUCACCGAAUAUCAAAUGCUGCUAGAGGACUUGAAAAAUGAAGACAUCAAUCUUCCUGAAAAAUUUGCUGCAGGCAUGCUGAUUGAAAAGCUACCUGAGUCAUGGGCCGACUAUAAAAAUAACUUGAAACACAAGGAGAAAAAUUAUACCAUGGAUGAGCUCGUGAAGCACAUCCUCAUUGAGGAUUCAAACAAAAGGGAGUUGAGAGCUACCAAGGCAAAGGAGAUGGCUUACAAAGCCAAUCUGGUACAAAGCAAUAAUAAAAGGUACGCCAAUAAAUCCCAGAAUUACAAGCCCAAAAAUUUUAAUGUCAAGCCUAACAAUCCCAACUUUAAGAAGAAGAAAGGCAAUUGUUUUUAUUGUGGAAAACCAGGACAUUAUGCAGUCCAAUGCAGACAUAAUAAAGGUGACAGAGCAAAUGGUAACCCUCCUAAGGUGCACUUAACCGAAGGAGAUGAUAUAAUUGCUGCUGUCAUCUCCCAAGUGAACAUUGCAGCCAAUGUCAAAGAGUGGGUGGUAGACUCUGGGGCUACUCGGCACAUAUGUGCGAAUCGAGAAGCAUUUUCCUCCUAUACUCCUAUAGGGGAUGAUGAAGAAGUGGUCUACCUUGGUGACUCACGAACGGCUAAUGUUCUGGGUAAGGGCAAAGUAUUCUUGAAACUCACUUCAGGAAAAACUUUGGCUCUCAAUGAUGUGCUGCAUGUGCCCAACAUUCGGGCAAAUCUGGUUUCCGUAGCAUUGCUAGGAAAAGUUGGAGUGAAAGUGUCAUUUGAAUCUGGAAAGAUCAUAAUGACCAAAAAUAAUAUAUUUGUGGGCAAGGGUUAUUGUAAUCAGGGACUUUUUGUACUUAAUAUUUCCAAUGUGAUCAAUGAAAAUGCAUCUUCUUCUGCUUAUAUUGUUGAUUCCAUUUCUUUAUGGCAUGCUAGAUUAGGACAUGUUAAUAUUGGUUAUAUAAAGAAAAUGCAAUCAUGUGGCCUAAUUUCUGGUAUUAAUGAUAAUAUGGACAAAUAUGAAAUAUGUGCAGAAGCUAAAAUAACAAAGAAAAGUUGUAUAACUGUCCAUAGAGAAACUGAAUUAUUAAAUUUAAUUCAUACUGAUUUAGGUGAUUUAAAACAAACAAUGACUAGAGGUGGGAAAAGGUAUUAUGUCACAUUUAUAGAUGACUAUUCUAGAUAUACCAAAGUUUAUUUACUUAGAAAUAAAGAUGAUACUUAUAAUGCCUUUUUAUCCUAUAAGUCUGAAGUAGAAAAUCAACUUAAUAAAAGGAUAAAAAGAAUUAGAUCAGAUAGGGGUGGAGAAUAUUUAACUUUAGAUAACCUUUGUGAACAGGAAGGCAUAAUACAUGAAAUAACUCCACCUUAUUCACCAGAAUCUAAUGGAGUAGCUGAAAGGAAAAAUAGAACGUUAAAAGAAAUGAUGAACUCUAUGUUAAUUAGUUCUCAUGCUUCAGAUAAUUUAUGGGGAGAAGCUAUAUUAUCUGCAUGUCACUUACAAAAUAGAAUCCCACAUAAAAAGACUGGCAAAACACCUUAUGAGUUAUGGAAAAAUUAUAAACCAAAUUUGAAAUAUUUAAAAGUUUGGGGGUGUCUUGCUAAAGUCUUGUUGCCUGAACCUAAGAAAAGGAAAAUAGGUUCUAAAACUUCUGAUUGUAUGUUUAUUGGAUAUGCUGAACAUAGUGCUGCAUAUAGAUUUCUUGUGUUAAGAAGUGAUAUACUUGAUUGUAAUACAAUUAUUGAGACAAAGAAUGCAGAAUUUUUUGAACAUAUUUUUCCACUGUCUAGUAAAAUUUCUCAUGCACCUGUUGAAAUAAAUAAGGAAAUUAUUCCAAUUGAGGAAUUAAGAAGGAGCAAAAGGCCAAGAAAAGAAUUUUCAUUUGGAAAAGAUUUCCAAACCUUUCUUGUUGAUAAUGAUCCUUUAACAUACUCCGAUGCUAUUUCUUCUCCUGAGUGUAAAUUUUGGAAAGAAGCAAUUAAAUCUGAAAUUGAUUCUAUCUUGUCAAAUAAAACUUGGAUUUUGGUAGACUUACCUCCUGGUGCAAAACCUAUUGGUUGCAAAUGAUUUUUAAAAGAAAAUAUAACUCUGAUGGCUCUAUAGAAAAGUACAAAGCUCGUUUAGUAGCAAAAGGAUUUUCUCAAAAACAAAAUAUUGACUAUUUUGAUACAUUUGCACCAGUAACUAGAAUUGCGUCUAUUCGAGUUUUAUUUGCUUUAGCUUCUAUCCAUAAACUUGUUAUUCAUCAAAUGGAUGUCAAAACAGCCUUUUUAAAUGGUGACUUAGAAGAAGAAAUUUAUAUGUUUCAACCUGAGGGAUGUAUUGUAUCUGGACAAGAAAAUAAGGUUUGUAAACUAAUUAAAUCUCUUUAUGGUCUAAAACAAGCUCCUAAACAGUGGCAUGAGAAAUUUGAUCAAGUAUUGAUGAAAGAUGGAUUUUCGUCUGUAGAAGUGGAUAAAUGUGUAUAUGUCAAAAAUAUAAAUGAUCAAUAUGUGAUAAUCAGUUUAUAUGUGGAUGACAUGCUUAUAUUUGGUACUAGUCUAGAUAUUGUAAAUAGUACUAAAUAUUUUUUGUCUUCUAAUUUUGAUAUGAAAGAUUUGGGUGAAGCCAAAAUAAUAUUGGGUGUUAAAAUCAUAAGGAAAGGUGAUGGUAUAAUGUUGUCACAAGAACAUUAUACAGAAAGACUUCUUAGGAAGUUUGAAAAUUAUGAUGUGACACCUGUGAGUACUCCUUAUGAUGCUAACACUCAAUUAAAGAAAAAUAAUGGUGGCCCAAUUGCUCAGUCUAAAUAUGCUCAGAUUAUUGGGAGUCUGAUGCAUCUGAUGAAUUUUACUAGACCUGAUAUAGCUUAUGCUGUAUGUCGACUGAGUAGAUAUACUCAUAAUCCCAACCGUGAGCAUUGGUUUGCAUUAGUCAGACUAAUGAAAUAUUUGAGAGGUACCAUGAAUUUUGGUAUCCUGUAUAGUGGAUUUCCCACUGUAUUAGAAGGUUACAGUGAUGCUAAUUGGAUCUCUGAUUCAAAUGAUACGAAAUCCACUAGUGGUUAUGUGUACACCCUUGGUGGUGGUGCAAUAGCAUGGAAAUCUGCUAGACAGACAAUCAUUGCUAGAUCAACAAUGGAGUCAGAGUUUGUAGCUCUGGAACUGACAGGGACUGAGGCCGAGUGGUUGAGAAAUUUCUUAGCUAAUAUUCCUUCAACUAAGGAUUUGUUGCCUCCUGUGUCCAUACAUUGUGACUGUCAAGCAGCGAUUGCCAUAGCUAAAAAUAAAUCGUAUAAUUGUAAAAGUCGACACAUGAGAUUGAGACAUGAUGUCGUAAAGCAGCUGCUUAGAGAUGGAAUUAUUUCCAUUGAUUAUGUAAAGUCAGAGUUGAAUUUGGCCGAUCCUUUGACUAAACCCGUAGGAAGAAAAUUGAUUCUUCAAACUACAAAAGAAAUGGGACUUCGACCAACAAGUUGUCAAUAGAGACGGUAACCCAACCUAUGUGAUUGGUGAUCCCAUGAAGUAGGUUCAUAUGGGUAAUAACAAGUCAAUAUUGAUGGUAAAGCACUUCAAUUUAAGUCCCUCCAGAGAUAAGUGCUUUGAGUAAUUGUGAGGAUGAGUUAAAACUCUUAAUGAAUUCAUAUCCUAUUAGGGAGGUGUAGUUAAAGCAAUACACACUUGAUGAAUUCACCUAUAUGAGAGUGUAGUGGGGUCGCUCCUAUAAGAUUCAUUGGUCAAAUCUUUAGAGCUCUCAUGAAUAACCAGGCAGGCGCACGGCCAAAAAAAGCGCAAAAUCGCGUUAACAGCAAAUUAUGGGUUGUAAUGUGAUUGAUAAAAUCUCUGUCAUACAUCAAGAGUUAUUGGUUCAUAGAAAUUUAUAUUUCACCAAUAAUUCUGUAGAUCAUGUUUUAUCAAUCUAUGUUUGGUUUAUAGUCCAAAAGACACCAAUCUAAUUACAUUUCAACCAAAUCCAGCAGAGUACUUUUAAAAUUCUUCCUUUAUCCAAAGAAUUUUUUUUGAAAUAGGUGGGAGAUUGUUGUAAAAUAUAUAGUAUUUCAAAAAUAUUCUUUGUCCCACAUCGGAAAAAUGAGAAGUAUUAUUUCUCUGUCCCACAUUGUCAAGUGAGAAGGGUUGCAGUCUUUGUCCCACAUCGGAAGUGAGAAGGGUUGCACCUCACUCUGAAGUCUAUAAAUAGGAUCCACUUCUCCCUCAGAAAAUCACCCCAGCAGCUUCAGUUAAUAUCUUUUGAUAGCUGCUCUAUCUCUCUCUCUCUCUCUCUUUUAUUUUUUGUUAGUUGAUAUCUUCCUGAUAAUUCUGUUCUCAUCUUCCUUUUUAUAUAUAUAUAUCUGCUGGUUUUAAUUUGCUAGUUCUGGUCCUUCUAGUUUGCAACAAGAAGAAAGGUUGUCUUUCUUGUUCGCAAUAAAUAGAAGAAGGCUUGUUUAAUCCUAGGGAAAUAUUUCAAUACUCUGAAAUAGUUUCUUAGGACAGUGCUACGCACGACUCAAGCAGAUAGUGUUAACAUUGUUGUAGCCAUUUAUCCAACAGAAAGUUCAAUGGUAAACUUUGUCAUCCUAUCUGGAACAUGAAGGUCAUAAAGCAUGCAACUCUCCUUUCUCUUUGGGUUGUGGUGGAGGUAUUCUGUAGUAUCCACUGGAUGUCAGACAAGAAACUCGAGCAUUUUUUUUUUUUUUGACUUCUCCAAGCAGAAAAUUUAAAUAGAAGCUAGCAGAACUAGAGAGCAUCUAAAGUUCUUCACUCCUUUGAGAUUAAAGAUCCUCAUAGCCAUGCUUGAAAACUAUGAAUGGAAGGGCUCAAGUUACUCAUCAAUCAGAAGACUAUACAGCUCCCUUUCAUCGAAGGGAGAACAAAAUAAUAUGCAUAAAUUGCCAACAACAAAAAUAGAGAAGAUUUGCAGCUUGUAGAAAUGGAUUCUGAGCAGAAUACUGACCUACAUGUGUGAAGAGAUUGUGUUCCCGUAACUGGAAGUAUGUAAUUCCUUUGACGACUAGUGCUAUAAUUCAUCUAACAUUGAUGUUUUAUGAUUACUGAAUUUAUCCCUUUCCUUUAAUUGUAGAGAUAACAUGAUUUGACAUCUCCAAUUGAGAUUGUCGUUCACGACCAGGAGCCAAAACCAAAGUUCUGGUUUACUUGUUUGAUCAUCCAUCAGCUAAGAAUUAAGGGAAUUUUGCAGGCAUGCAUAGUAGUGAUAAUAUUGGGGAAAAAAAAUGCCCGUGGAGCAAGGACAGAGGGAGUUAUGUUGCAUUAGAGAGAGUUAUCUCCUGCUUCAAACCUACCCGCUAUCAUCCUUAUUCAAAGAAGAAAGAAAUAGAAAGAACAAUUAGGGAAAAAAAAAAAGCUUAUCCCUAAAUAGUAGUAUUCAGAAUAAAUGUAUUACAAGUUUUAUGAAAUGCUCCAAGGUGGGGGAUGAUCAUCAAAGGGGUUUCAAAAACGAAAAUUAGUUUGCAGGGAUAAGGGGUUUAACAAUGUUUAAUUCGUGUACGGUAGUAGAAAGAUGGUCAUCAUCAUCACAUUGAAAUGUAUUACUACAAGUUUCGACUCAAAAUGAAAACUGGAAAUUUAGGGGAAUUGUAUGUACAAAAAAUCAAGAUUAGCUCACUUGAGUGAAAGUUUCUAAAAUUUCAAAAGAAAAAAAAAUUGAGGGGAAUUCAAAUCUAUUGAGACCGAGAUUUUGGGCCAGCCCCAUUUCAUUUUCCUGAGCAUCCUACAGAACUACUAAACACUCCAUGGCACAAGAUCUUUCUUGCGAAAGAGAAUUUGAAAUUAAAGCCCAUGCUGUCUGAACUGGAUCAAAAUUUCAGCAGCCUGAAGGCAAUUAGAGAUGGCCCAUUUAGUCUGCUCGAAAAAUUUUUUCAUUUUCUCCUCGUCACUAUUGUUUUCUUUUUGAUUCAUUCUUUGCAGUCAACGGUUCAGCAAAAAAUCAACGUGACGCGAGAGAUGUUUCAAUGAUUUUACUACUACUAUAUUUUAAGUUUCUUAAUUUCUCGGAAUGUGGAAAUGAUGCUUUGAUUGGAUUUCUUCUAUGUGGAUCACGUUGGCUCGAUUCCAAUGACUUGACCUAUGGCACGAAGUGUUUAUUAUAUAUACUAUAAAAGAAACGGUAAAAAAAAAAGACAGAGACAUGGAGAAAGAGACGGAAAAGUAAGGCACGAGAAAAAGGAAGGACAUUUUUUUCCCCCGUUUUCUUUUUGUCAAAACCGGGCAUUUGUCUUGAUAUAUGACACGAACAAAAUAUCUUCACACUUACCGACCAACCACACGGCCAAGAUUAUGCAUUACUAGAUUUUACUUAUUUGUUUUUGUUCUAAAAUGGUUUUUUUUUUUUAGUAUAAGCAGGAGGACUCGAACCCGAUACCUCCUACUUACACUCCCUUCCCAUACCACCCAACCCAACCCUCCCCCUCUAAAAUGGUUAAAUACAAAGUUACCAAAGUAAGAGUCCAAACUACUUGUACCCAAGAAAUCUGCCCAAUUGUUUUUUUGUAUUGAGAAAAAAAAUGGCUUCCAUAGUGCAAUAGAAAUACAUACAUAUAUAAAGACUGCGAUCUCUCAUAAUGAGCUGGGACUGGGAAUAAAGAACGUACAAGCUAUUCAAUAUUGGAACUACGUUUACACGCUGGUUCAAAUUUGAUUUGCUAAUUUAGCAAACUAAACAUAAACCUUAUUUUGUAUUAAGCAUAGGACGGCAUGGAUAUAGCUUAAUUAUUAUUAUUUUUUUUUUAAGUAAAGAGGACUAAUUAGAUAUUUGGUUGUACAACUAGCUUUGAUGGGGGAAUUUUGGAAUACAGUAAAUUGUAAACUUAAAAACACCAAAAGCUGUUUGAACAUGUUGAUAUUCCUAAAUGCCAUUUUUCCACAUAAUUUAUACUUGCUAUGUUGAGUCUCCAUUUCAUAGAGGUAAUGCGUACUUCUCUAAUUAGCUCAAUUCACGGUAGUUUAAAUCUAAGCAUUAGAUUGGAGAGUAGAGCUUCGAACAAAAGUGAUUAAGCAUAGGAUGGCAUGGAUAUAGCUUAAUUUUUCCUUUCUAAGGAUUCAAGAAUUAUACUAUUAAAAAAAAAAAAAAAAGAGGGCACAGAAAGAUGUGUUUGUACCCGGGCUUGAUUGAAACAAAGUGCCCACAUACGUGGAAAAUUGUUUGUCCAAAAUAGAGUUUUCUCAUUUUAAGGCUUGUACUUAACUACAUUUGAUUUGGUUGCAAAAUAAGGAAUUUCGUGAUAAUUAUCAGUUGGAACCAUGGCAAUCAAUCAUCAACUACAGAUUGCAGUUUUGGUGGUCAAGUGUUUUUGGAUUUUCUUAGUACAAACAAUUUUUUAAUUACUUUUUUUUUCUACCUCGCGUAUAUUACGCCUCAAUAAUUAAGUGUUAUAGGUUUUUUUUUUUUUUUUUUUUUUACAAAAGCUACAAAAAAAAAAUCCCCAAAAACGCAAUGCAGAUAGUCUCUUAAUGUGCUCAAAUUAGAUUUGACAUCUACUAAUAAACGCUUCCAUGCUUAAAAGGCCACUUGAAUCGGUUUUGUGAUUCCACUUGUCUAUUCUUUGUUUCUGUUUGGGGUGACUAAGCUUUACCUAGAGGAUUAUUAGUAUGAAACACUUCCAAAAUGGAUUGAGAUUCCAAUAUUAACUGAAUAUAUUCUACGUACCAUGCCAUGCUGGAGAUGAAUUGUUCUCAAUUAACUUUUGCUGACUUUUUAGUGUGUAACUCGUAAGUCCUAACCCUAAUGUUGGAGAUGUCAUGUCACAAGUGGGAAAAACAGUUGGGGUUGGUUGACUUUCUUAAUUGUCCCAUCGGUCGCCUAACAUUAUGUAACUCGUUAACAAGUCGAUUAAUUCUGUGGGUCGUUAAGUUAAAAGCUAUUUGAGGUUAAAAAAAAAUUAAAAUUUAGAAAACCGUGGAACGAAGUGAACGGUUCAAUUGGCUGCUAGCUCAUGACAUCAUUCCGCUGCUAGCCGACAUGGCGACAUCCCCCCGGUCACAAAAUUUUGGAGCGAAGUUUUCUCUGGGGCCCAAAAAUAUUUGCGCUGACAAGAGAAUUUUAGCACGGGAAAAGUCGUCGGCCGAACCUCGAAUUUCUCUUGACAAAACGUCGCUAAAUCGAUGCUUGAAAGCCGUUUAACACGAAGUGGUUAGUCUAGUCAUUCAUUGAAAUCGAUGCAGACAAUGAAUGACCACUUAUUAACAAACCAAACAACGCGGGGCAUUGGAUCGGGAGUUUUCCUUAUCUUUGGUAGGGAUGGGCCAAAAAUCCGCCGAUCCGAAAAAUAGGAUAUUCGAUUCGAUUUUUUUUAGCGGGGUAGAUGAGGGUCGGGCACCCGUAAAAAUCGGAUACGAAUACGAAUCAGAAAAAUAAAAACUCGCGAGUAUCCGACCCGCAGGGUAUAUUAUAUAAAUAUUAAAAAAUUAGGGAUCAUAUUAGAACUUAAUAAUUUUUAAUUCUAAGUGCAAGUGAAGUGACUCACAGUCUCAUAUUCUAAUCUCAUAUGAUCCACUUCUUCUCAUCUUAUUUGAAGAAAGUGAAUAUUUUUGGUGAAACAUGAACCAAAUGAAAAAAUAUUUGUGAAGCUCUGUUACAAAAUUGUUCAUUUCUUUCAUCCUUUUUAUUUUUAUUCUACCUCCAUCAAUUUUUCCUACAAAUUUUGCAUCAAUUCAAUCGAAAAUUUGUGUUUGGAGUUUCAAUUUUCUGUUAGCUAGAUAAUUAAAACAUUUGUGUCUUUCAUUUAUUUAUUUAUUUUAUUGCAAUUACGUCUCCUAAAUUUGUCUCUUUUAUUUAGUGUAAGAAAUUUAUUUUUCUUUUUCAUCACCUUUAAUACCGUAAGGUCUAUUCCAAAGAUGUAAAGAAGUUGGGGAAGAUUUUUCAAGGUUAUUUUGGUUAUAAUUUUUCCAAAAAUAAUUAGUUCGAUUCAAUUCUUUUCCAAACUUGAUUUCACAAUCGACUUAUUUGGGAUGCAGUCUUGUACCAUAACAACCUUAAGGAAGUUGAGGAAGUUGCCAAAUACUUAUUAUCCUUGUGUUUGUUGUAUUGUAGAAGGAUGAAAUGUGUGAGAAUGGUGAUGUACUCAAAAUUAUUAUGAAAUUUCAUUUUAUCUAUUAGAUAUUAUAAUUCUAAUAUGUACUUAAUUUAUGAGAUCGAUUUGAUUGUUGGAUGAAAUGUGUGAGAAUGGUGAUAUAUGGACUUUAAUUACUAUAUCUCUACUAAUAUUAAUUGGAAAGCAUGUUUUUUUUUAUUGAAAAACAUGUUGACAUUAAGUGGAAAGCAAUUUUUUUUUAUUGAAAAAUAGUUUUUUUUUAGGGGCGGGUACCCUAUGACCCGCCCUUUUUUUUCGAAUACCCGAAGACAUUUGAAGCGAGUUAGGGUCGCAAAAUGGCCGAUCCGAUAUAUUAGAGUCAGAUCAGCCAAAUCAUGUUAGGGACGAAUACCCGAUCCGUGCCCACCCCUAAUCUUUGGCAAAGCUGAUACUUAAAGUCUAAAACUAGGGCACCAGUUGUGUGGGUGAAAAUGUGCCACGAAUUUGGAUUAAAAUAGGAAGUAAUUAAGAAUUCCUAAGCUGACUUGCACUUUUUAAUUAUACUAAUUGGCAUAGUUAAUCUUUAAAGAGCUAUUAGAUUUAAUGACGCGUAAACAAAGUCUACAUUAAUUACGAUAAGAUUUUGCCGAAGGAUUUAUAUCUAACUUACCAUGCACACACUUAUAUUUAAUACGCACUACUAUUUAGACAUUUUUCAAAUUAGUUUUACAAUUGUCGAAAAAAAAUUUAAUAAUUGAGGCCCUUUUUAAUGAAUGUCUCUUGGGUACCUAUUAGCCAAAUUCUCAUAAUAAUAUCCAAUAGUGAUAUCAAAUUUUAGCACUACUAGCUUGCUCAUAUUUGAAAAUCCUGAAAUAGUAUCCUAUGUUACGUCCGAUUACCAAUUGCAACUUUUGUAAGUAAUUAUUAAGUUCUAAGGGCAACAUCCAGUUCAAGGACUAGCAUCAUUAACAACAUUAUUUUAAAUGAGGAAGUCUAGAGGUGGUCUUCAAAAUUGAGAUCAAUUAGCAAUUGCAAAUUUUGUUGGUAAUUAUAAAGUUCUAUGGUGGCAUCCAAUUAUAUGACUAAUUAAUAUUGAUAAUAUUAGUUAAUAAUCGUUAAAAGGUCCUAACUGGCACCCAAUUUCAUAUCAAUUGCAACUUUUAUUAGUAAUUAUAAAGUCCUAAAGUGACAACCAAUUCAAAGACUAAUUAGUAAGUUGUUGAGUUAGAUAGUUCUGUGUAAUGCCAACUUUAUAUUUCCAGUUGUCGUCACCCAGGCGUAAUUAGUGUUUGCAUACUUUUGUUUUAUUUAUUCUUUUUUUAUAUAAUAAUCAAAUCCAUUUCUCUUUACUUACUUUUUUUAAAAAUAAUUUUAAUGAAUUUUUUAUUUUCCUACCCUUUUUAUACAUUAUAAUUAAAUAUUACUAUUUUAAAAAAAAAUUUUAUCAAUCAACCCAUAAUAUUCCUACCUCAUGGUUUCCCUAAUAACAUGUUCUCACCUAAUUUCUUUUCAUGCCAAUGAUAAAGAAUAUUACAUAUACUCACGUCAUUGUGUCUGUGUAUUCCUAGCUUAAUUAUAUUUAUGAUUUUUAAAAAUCUUGACAACUUCAUAAUUCAAUAAUUCAUUUUCUUACUUUUAGCAUAUUGCUGGUACUAAUCCAUUUAGUAAGUAAUUAAUUAUAAAUGUGUAAGGUGACAAUUAUAUAUAGCAUUAAUUAGUCUUAACAAGUUUAGUAAUUGAUAUAAAGGCAAAAGGUGGCAAUUAUUUUUAGGCCAAAAUAGUGUUGACAAGUUUAAUAAGUGCUUAUAAAGUCCCAAGUUGAUAAUCAAUUUUAAGAAUGACUACUAUUGGCGACAUUAGCGAAACAAUUCCAGAAGUCUAAAGUGACAAAACAUGUUAAGGGUACUUAAUUUGUAUUAACGUAUUAGUCAAACUAUUAGAAAGGCCUGGGUUAAAAUCAAAUUUAAGCAUAAUUUGUAUAGGCAAUAUUAGUCAAACUAUUAGAAUUGUCUAAUGUGGCAAUCAAUUUUAUGCUAAUUAGUGUUAUCAAUAUUAGUCAAAUAAUUAAUAAAAGGAUAAGGUGACAAUCAAUUUUAAGCAUAACAAGGGUUGAUAAUUCAAUCAAAUAAACAAAAACGCAUGAGGUGACAAUCAAUUUUACAACUAAUUAGCAUUUACAAUUUUAAUAAAAAAAUUAAAAGGUCUAUGCUGCCAAUUAAUUAUAAAACAUGUUUAUUAAGUACUUACAAAGGCCUAACAUGCAAUCAAGUUUAAGGUUAAGUAAAUAUCGAAAUAUUAGUAAGUAAUUGCAAAAAACUAAUGUGGUAACCAAUUAUAAGGUUAAUUAGAAUGGACAAUUUUUAGUUAAAAAAAAAUUUGAGUAUUAGGUUUCACCUUUUUUAGUCCCUUACUUUUACAAUGGUGUUCUUUUGGCCAUUCACAUAUCCAAAAUGCACCAUUUUCAUCCCAAUUCUCAUUUUUAGCUAUAUUUUCACUUUUAAUUCUAAUUGUGAACUAAUUUGGACCAAAGCUCAAAAAAGGAAAAGAAAAGAAAAAAAGCCAUUCUUUAGGUUCCUAAGUUCAUUCUUUGAAAGUUUUCAAACUCAUAUUAUUCUUUUUAAGAUAUUCAAACUAAGUAAAGGUUGAAUGCUAGAUUUAGUAUUUAAACUUUAUUUGUGGUAUUUUUAGGGUCCAAACGAUAUAUUUUCUUAGUAAUAAUGUAUUCUGAGUGAAUUUCUAGAGUUUUGUAAAUUAUUUUUUUUGGUCUAAAUCAUGUAGCACUUAAAAUAAGGUAGUUUACUACAGCAAUUUAGUUUCAAAUAAUAUUUUUAUAAUUUCUUUUCAUGAUUCUACUCAUAUGAUCAAAUAAAGUGCUACAUGAUUUUGACAACAUUAAAAGAUAGAAUAUAAUUUAUGAAGAUCUAAAAAUUCAUUCAUAAAAUGAUAUUAUGAACAAAACAAAUCUUGGUUGGACCAUGAAAACACCUCAAAUAAAAUUUUAAACAUUGAAUCUUACAUUCAUCUUAUAAAGAAAAAAACAACUGAUCUUGGAAAUUUCCAAUUUUACAAUAAUACUCUAAAAUUUGGAGAAUGAAUUUAGAAGCUUAAGAAUGAUUUUUUUUUUGUUUUUUUAGCUUUGGUUCAAUUUAGUUCAAAACUAGAAUUAAACGUGAUAAUGUGGCCAGAAAUGAGAAUAGAGAUGAAAAAUGAUGCAUCCUAGAUAUGUGAAGGGCCAAAAAUCACCACCCUUAAUAAACCGGUUUUGACUUCCUUUCUUUCACGAACAUAUUUUGUACUACUUCCUCCGUCCCACUUUAAUAGUCCUGUUUCUUUUUUCAUACAAUUUAAGAAAAAGUAAUUAAAUUUGUUGAAAAAGUAAAUUUAGAUUACUAUUUUCCUAAAAUACCCUCACAUUAAAUAUGGUACAACUUUAUGAGAACUUGAAUUGAUGGUAAAAAAAAAUCGACUCUCAUUAAAUAAAGUAGGUUUAUAGUAAUAACUACUUAUAUUGAAUAAAAGUAUUUUAGAAAAAUUAAAAUACAACUACAUUUUUCAAUUAAAAAGUGGAUUACAAUUUGAAACAAAUAAAAAAGGAAUACAGAAUCAUCAACAUGGGAUGGAGGGAGUAUUAAAUAAAUGAGACGUCAUGACGUAGAACGUGGCAGUAACCUUGUAAGCGUAAAUGUCUUCACCCACGUGGAAAAUGUGUUAUGCAUACAAAAUGGGGCUAUGACUUAUGAGACACACGCACACAGAGCAUGUCCUUAGAAAACACAACACAUUGAAAUCUGUGCAAGUCCUUUCUUUAUGGAAAGAGCUCUCAAGUACGGUACCGUACAUUAGUCCUAAGAAUUGAUUCAAACAUUCACUUCGUCAACCCAAAAAAAAGUACCGUACCGUACAUCACGCGUCAUGUGAUCAAGAUUUCCCAAUCCACUACUGUGUGGGUUAGCCAUUUUUUUAUCUUCUCGGGAAGCGACAAUACCCUAAAAUUUGAUCCCUAAGCGAAGUCUCUUUUUCAAUCUUGUUGACUUCUUUCAUUUUGUUUGCUCUUAAACUUGUGAAAGAUUAGUCCCUCUUAAUUGUAGUGCAGUGCUUCCUAAAUAUAUUAAUAUUAUCUCAAUAAGACCAUGUAAUGACUAUACAUUUCAUUUGUGGAACUUGCAACCUGGCAAGGACGUGAAUGCAAUAGAAAAUAAUGGUAAACAACGGGUAAUUUCAUACAAAAACUAGACUACGGUAAUGGAGGUAAUUACAACGAAUAAAUGUUACCUCCAUUAAAGGGAGAAUCAACGUAGGAAAGUAUGUUUCAUGUUACAAAGUAAAAAGUGGUCAUACACUUGCAUUCAGGGAUGGGCCGGAUGCCAACAUGAUUUUCUGUUUAAGUCUGUUUAUCACUGUAAACUAUUAUCCAUCAAAACUUACUCUACAAUAAAAGAUGUAAUUGUUCGUUGUCCUUUGCUUUCCUUUCUUUGCCAAAUUUUUUUUUUCAAUCCAAUCUCUGUUAAGUGUCUCUAUCAGAAUUGGAAUUGCAAUUACGUCCAAUCAGAAUAUAGAACAGGACACAAUUGUAUCAAUUUGGUAGCUGGCAUAGGAUGGAGGAAGAUCGUUUUAUGAGUCUUACGGCUAAGGCACACAGAAAUGCUCCUAAACAUGUAAAAAUUAGUCUCUUUUAUGUAUGUAUGUAAACACGUCUAAUCUUUUUUAAUUCAAAAGUAUAUGAUGUUAGUAUGUCGCUCAUCCUCUAAUAUCUCUAUUUAAGUAAGAUAAGGACACAUUUGUUGAUAUUAAAACAGAAGUGACACAAAGUAGGAUAUAAUUUAUUUUCUAUUUCUCCUUUUUUCAUCUCUGUAUUUUAUUUUAUUUUUUAAAUUUAGUUUUGAUCUAUUGAAUAAAAACUUCUAGAAAAAAAAAACCAAAUUAUCAACCACGGGCACCCGCGGGGGAAGUGCAGCGGGGCAAGGGGAAUUUUUUGGCAACAGGAUGGAGGACAGGAGAGGGAUCUCCCGCCCAAAACUCGCCCCGUUGCCAUCCCUACACGUCAGAGUUUUCAACAUGUUUUACUAUUGUGUGAAACAUCUUUAGGGAGAGGUAUUAGCAUUUGGCUUGGCUUUUUAACAAGCCAAUUGCAAUUAAGAAUAAUUUCACAUAUUUCUCCUAAAGUUUUUAAGAAUUACAAAAAGUUCCCCUUACAUUCUAAAAAUUACACCUACCUCUCGUAUUUUCAUUGUUUAAGUAACUUUUUAGGCCCGAAAUGCUCGACCUUUUUUUUUCAAAAAUCUUGUAAUGCCCUUGAGUUAUAAUUUUCAACAAAAAAAAAAGGAAAAAAAAAUGGUUUACAGUCUCUAUUCAUUCAUCCUUACUUGUUAUCACUGUUAACUACUCAUCAACGUCUAAAUCACCAUUAAAUAAACACUUAUCUUUGUUCUAAUGUUUCUCUUUUACCUAAAAAUUUUCGAUGCAAACUAUUGUAUCACCUAUAAAUGCCGCAUUAAAUAUCCAAAACCUUACCUACAAUCUCAUAUCAAUAUCAAAUUUUGCUUAAUACAUAACAAUAUUCAUCAAUGUCCAUAAAUUUCAAUUCCAUGGUUUCCACCUUUUUAAUACAAAAUAAUUUAAGCCAUCACUACUAAUAUCAAUAUCCAAUAUACUCCAUUGAAAUAGAGUUCAAAAUCGACCAAAGUCCCUCUAUAGGAAUAAUAUCAAUAAUUGUAAAUCAAAAAUAGAAACACAAUCAACUAUAAAUAUACCAGGAAUAUUUUUUUUCAUAACAACCAUAACAAUAUAACCUAUAUUUAACCCUAUUCCACUUCCUAUCCUUAAUUUUUUUUUAUUUUUUUACCACCGCCACUAUCCUCAUCUCCAUCUAAUUUGAUAAUGAAAUUAUCACUCAAUUUGUCAUUUGACAAUUUCAAUUUGCUAAUGCCUAUCAAAAAUUGGAAAAAAAAAUGAGCACAAAGAAACUAUUUAAUAAUAAUUAAAAAGAAAGAAUUGAGAAAGACACCAAGAUAGGUAAGUAUUGGUGGUUUGGUGUGUAUAGUGGUUUUAUUAGUGGCGACUAUACACAUUUGAUUAAUAAGAAUAAAUAAAAGAGUUUCAAAGAAAAACAGUUAUAGAAGAAAGAAAAUAGAGAGUUAAAUGGAAAAUAGUGUACUUUUAGUUAUUAGUUGACAAUAGAUGAGAGAGAUUUAAUAUUUCAUAAAGUUUUUCAAUGAGUUGACAAUUAAUAAAGGCAUUGUUGUCUUCUUAACACAUUAAAGGAGGUCUCUGUAAUUAUGUAAACCUCAAAGGCGCCGAAUGAAAUUGUCAGAAACCUCAAAGGAGAUUUUUGAAAUUAUCCCUUUAUAAAAGACUGAUCUGUCCAUUGUUAGCAAUCUCAUUCAUGAAGACAACAGCAUGCGUGGUGAAGAUUGAUCAGGUAUAUCAGGAGUGCACAUCAAGAGUAGUGGGAAUGCACCUGCAUAUGUAAUGGCCAAAACGACAUUAUAUGUAAAUUCUUGUGGGAUGAUUUUCUUCCAAAUGUUUUCUUGCUCCUGCACAAGGCAUAUCUUAAUAAAUAGUUGCUGAUUCAACAAAAAAAAAGACUUUACUCUAAAAUAUGAUUGCAUCUAAUCUAGAAAUCAUGAUCGAUGACUUUAUGCUAAACUUUGAUCAUGGAUGGAGCAAUUCUUUCAACACAAAUUUUUAUUAAACACAUCCAUCAUCAUGAUCAGUGACAAUACCCUAAAAUUUGAUCCCCCGUAAAGUCUCUUUUUCAAUUUUGUUGGCUCCUAAACUUGUAAAGAUUAGUCUCUUUUAAUUGUAGUGUAGUGCUUCCUAAAUAUGUUACCUCAAUAUGAGUAUGCAAUGACGUCACAUUCUUGUCCAAUGACUAUAGAUUUCAUUUGUGGAACUUGCAACCUGGCAAGGACAUGAAUGCAAUAGAAAAUAAUUAUUGUUCCCAUCCCCGUUUUUAACUUUUUUUUUUAUCUUUUAUUUGAUGUAAUUAAGAGGGUACAAGUACAAAAAAGAAAAGACAAAAAAAAAAAAUGCGUGGUGUAUUCGUUGGAGUGAAAUUUUAAUCUUUUGCUAUCUUUUCAGUUUUGAUGACUUUUCAUUUUUUCUGGUAAACUUGUAAAAAUAUCUUUUCCCUGUUCAUUAGUGUGGUCUUAAACAUAUUUAUAGGCGUCAUUUGGGACCAUUUCAUGUCUAAAGAAUCUAUCUCUCUCUCUGAAGAAACAUUUGGGAUCAUUUUGAUUCUUCAGACAUGUUUCUCGAGAGAGAGAGAGAGAGAAGAAAUUCAACAUUCUUCUUCGAGUGUGAAAAUGUAAACUUCGUUGCACAUUACCACUAAAAUAUUACUAUCAAUGAUUGCAUGAAAAGCCCAAAACAUAUUUAUAGGAUGAUAUUAAUGUGGUGCAAAUAAUGGUCCUGCUACAGCCUACAAGUGAUUGAUCAAUUAAUGGCCAGAAGUCUAAGAAGUGGAAUAAUGUUUCAUAUGAUAUCUUUACUUCAUACAGUAGGAAUUUGCGGGGAUGAGCUCAAUGUUAUAGAAAAGUAUACAUACACCGACUGAGCAAGCCAUACUAUAGAAAAGCUGGUAAAGUCAAUAAAUUAGACUUCACAUGAUUAAUUUAAUAUGCCAUGAACAAAAACUUUAUAUGGAACGACUAGUAAGCUAGCUUAAGCUCAAGAUUGAAUGGGUUGUUUCUGCCUCUAUUUUUCUUUUUUUUUUUCCUUUACCAGUUUAUGAGCUCGCUCAUAUAUUUUGUGGUAUAGUUAAGUGCCAUGCGGUCAAUUAGUCAGAGUAUGUACGCGUAGAAUAUUUGUGUAUGAUUUUGUCUAACAGGUGCCUAUUGAAUACCCAUUAAUAUAUAUAUUUUAGAUAUCAUAUUUUUAAAAAUAUAAAAUUAAUUAUGAAAAAUAAAUAACUACAAGGGAGGAUAAAUAAGAUAAGUAAAGAAAAGAAAGAAAGGAACAACAAAUGAAGCUGUUGGGGAAAAACAGAAUAAAAGAUUUGGAGAGAAACAGAAAGGACUAGGAAUGAAAGUUCCCUUCAGUUCUGAAGCUGUUGUGGAGGGACUUGAAAAGGGAAAAAAACCAAAAAAAGAAAAAACAAGGAUGGAGAAAAAUAGUUUCCGCUUUAUUUUUCCCGUCCCCGUUUUCACAAAGUCGAAACGUCCUUUCUUACCCUUUCUUUUUCUUUUCUUUUCUUUCUUUCUUUUUUUUUUUUCUCAAAACCUCCUAUAUAAAGCAGCUUCAACCUCCCUCCCUUUCAACCCCUCCCUCCUUCAACAUUAGCACUAAAAUAUUACUACGAUGACGAAUUUCUUGAUCUUUGUCAUCAAUCUUGUCAAGCGCAUCCAUCUCUUUGAAGCCUCCCCGUCCUCACCUCAGUUGCCAACUAUCCAAGGAACCCAGUCUAAUGCAACACAUCCCACUGACCAGCAGCCACCCCCAAGCAAUACCGAUGCUUACAUGAGGAUGCAAUUGGCAUUAUCAGUCAUAGGAGUUUGUUUUACGGCUGCUGGUACUACUCUGCUAGCUCUCCGGACUCCUAGACCACUUCCAACUAUUUUUCACUGGCUUUGCAUGGCUCUCAUGCUGUCUUUUCUCUGUGUGAUUGUGUCUAUGUAUAUCCGAAGAUGCAUUCAGGUAGCAUCUCUUGUGAUGGACCAUGUUGCCCUAUUCUUAGCCUUCACGGCGUUCAUGCUGGCCGUCUCGAUGAACUUUCCGACCCCAUUUCUGGGCAUCACCGUGGCUCUCUAUUUCAGUGCUAUCCUUCUCAUCAUCUUUGCCAAUCUUUUGAUGCCUCGAGACACAUCAAAUCCAUAAUCGUACAGAGUUACUUGUUACGUCUCUCUCUCUCUUUUUAAUAUUAAUAAGUCUUUAGUAUUAAUAAGUCGAUGUUGUAUAUCAUCUGGGUUGCUUGUUAUGAUGUGUUUACAACAUCUAGGUUGCUUGUUAUGAUAUGUUUUAUGUAUUUUCUGUUAUUGUAAAUCGUAUUAGACUCUAAUAUAUAUAUAUAUAUAUAUAUAUAUAUAUAUAUAUAUAUAUAAGAAGUUGUUAGUAAAAAAAAAGAAUAAAUUUUAUAUACAUUGACGGUGUAUACACUAUCACGGUUGGAUAUACGAUGCAUAUGCAAAAUUUGAAUUUUAAAUUUAAAUUCAAAUUAUAUGUCAUGUAUCUAAUGGUAAAAAUGUAUAUACUGUCAGUGUAUAGAAAAUUAAUCCAAAAAAAAUAUGUUUGUAGAAUGGUCUUAAAAGAAGAAAGAGAGAUCAAUGUUUUAUAUAUGGAAAUAGCUAGUCCAUGUGACUAUUUCUUUCAAUAACUAAGAUAUAAUUCAGCAGGUGAUAAAGAUUAUAAAUGAUGUUCUAAUAUUUUAGUCUUUUCUUUGUCGGAAUAUGGUUAUCAUGCUAUGAUCGAUCUUGUAUAUUAGUUACAUGUUAGAUUCUUAAUCCAACGUUAGAUUUAUAUGUGAAUAAUUAUGUAUUAUAAAUUAUCAAAUAAGGUUUAGUCUAAUCAAAGUGAUCAAUUAUAGUUUAGAUUUUAAUGUGUCUAAUAACAUGUGAGCCUUUAAUAUAUAGAAACUUAAAGAUUAUUCAUAUUUCUACGAUGGAUUGAAUAGGAAUCCAAAAAUAACAAAAAAGUUAUCUAUAAAUGAAAUUAUGUAUAAUUGUAUGUUUCGACUUUCGUGUUUUCGUGUUUCAUGUUUCGGCUUUCGGGUUUUGUUUGGAAGUCUCGGUUGCUGAUGGCAUGAAUUGUUGUUCAAAUAUAAUCUUUAUGCCUUCGGUCAAGUCGCGCCAUUGAUUCACUGUUUUGGUUACAUUGAAUCCAGUGGGUCGCAUGAUAACCAAACUUUAGUUGGAUGAUCCACUGUUUUACUAUGCUAUUUUAGUUGGCCCAUUGUUCACUUUCACAUCUCAAGCAUUCUGCUUUGAUUGAACUGUGACUAGUUCACUUUUACGUCUUAGUUGAUUGAAACUAAGAAUCAAGUUUCCUUGUCAUAGUUAACUGUUUAAUUUGUUUAUAUCACUUGAAUCCAGCUAUGGGUAUGCCUUCGGUUAUAAAAUUAGAACUACUAACUUGAAUUCUUUGACUUGUUUUCUUGUUUAAGAGCCAAUAUUUGUGUUAAGAAAAUUAGGAUUUUUCUGAUUUGAGUGAACCCUAAUAAAGUUAAACAAGAUAUUUAAGGUUUACAAAGUCUAUAAGAUUGGCCCACUAAAUACAUAGUAUUUUAAGAUAUUUUGGGUUUGAAUGAUACAUUUGAAUCAAAUUAUGGAUAUGGACUUUUAGUCCAAUAAGUUUUGAUCCAUUUGACUAAUUUGACCAUAUUUGAUUAGUUUAAUCACGCGUAACCAGAAUUGACUAGUUUAACUCGAAUUGACUGGUUUGACCACAUUUUGAUCAGAGUUGACCCAAGUUGACUUUGGUCAUGUAUAAUUUGUGUAAUUCUAAAUUUGAAUAUUGAUAUAAUUAUAUAUGUUUUGGAAUAAAUUAAUUGAAACAAUAUACCAUCAAAGUGACCUCUAUUGUGAAAAUUAAUUUAUUUUAGAAUAUAACUAGUUGGGUACUUGUAAUUUUGUGAAUAUUGAUCACCUCAAAGGAAAGUCAAUAUUUAACAAAAUUGCAUAUACGUUUGUGAUAAUAAACACGUGAUGAUUAUUCAGAUUUUUACAUGUGAAUUAUAACUGGUCCAAAGGAAAAUUUAUUUUUUGACAUGUUAUUAUUGUUAGUAUUUAUUACUGCACCAAGAUAUCACUUAGAAGUUAAUAUUUUCGUCCAAAGAUAAAAUAUUAAUGGAAUAUCGAUAUCUUGAAAUGAGAAUACCAUUAUUUGAAUUUAUUAUUAUUUUGGUCUAUAUAAGUUUGUUUUAAUUAUUUCAUGUUUUCUGUUCAAUUGUGAAUGAUCUUACAAAUAUUACUACCAACAUCAAUAAUAUUCGUAUGCUGAAUAGCACAAACUUCAAGUCAAAGAAAAUCUCUUGAUAAUUCUUGGAAUAAUGGAUCUCGACUUUACUUUAAGAGUUGAUUUUCCUCCACCUCUUACAGAUCAGAGUACUUCUGAUGAAAAGAAGGAUAAAAAAAGGUGAGAGAGAUCAAAUCGUUUGUGUUUGAUGAUCAUUAAAGAGGCCAUUUCCAAAGCAUUCAUAAGAACAAUGUCAGAAACGACAACUACCAACCACUAAGGAAUUCCUUCAUUACGGUGUCUAUCAUUUAAUUUAUUAUCACUGGCAUUAAAAAAAAAAAAAGUCAGAGAUAGAGAAAGUAUAGGGACUAUGAAUAAAUAAAUAGAUCUUUUCAGUUUUUGGUUCUAAAGCUGAUAUGGAUUUAGUAAAUUCCAAAAAAAAAAAAAAAAAGAGGAGUAGGAGGAGGAGGAGGAGGAGAGCUCAAGGGGUUGUUUUCCAUAUAUUUCGUCCAUCUAAUUUAUUCUUUUGACAACUGUGAAACGACCCAGCAGCUAAUCAGAGGUUUCAUGAUUUAUAAUUUGUUAGCCCUUUCUUUACCUAUGAUUAAAUAUGUGAUUAUAGAUAGUUAAAUCUUUUCUGUUCUGAAGCAGGGGAAUUUAUAGAAUAACAGAACUGACAAUCAGAUGGUACAUGCUGGACUAGCAAAAUGGAGAUUUUUUUUUUUUUUUGCUUCGUCCUACCCAUGCAUCCUUUGUUUAUUACAAAUAAAUUGUUCUGUGCAAUUGGGUUGAACAUAUUUAUUUUGUUUUUUUUUAAUGAAUGAGCAAUAUUGCAUGUUUAAAUAGCAAUAUUCGAGAAUGCUGCCCCUUUCAUGGUGCACCAAUCCAGUAAAUUAAUCAGCUAGUUAUCAUUAAUUGAGAGAAGUUAAAAUUCGUUCGAAUGACCAUGUUAGGAGGGAUGGUCCUGGGGGAGCGAGACCAGAGCGGGUUGCGAAGAAAUUGGGUAGGGACAAACUGAAUGAAGCAACCCAAGACAGGACGGAAGUGUAGGGUCUAGGAUGUGACUCUAGAGAUUAUUUUAUAGUACUUUUGGAUAGAGUAAAAAACCUUGGUUUAUUUUUUGUUCACUUUUAUUAUUGUUCACUUUUAAUUCUUGAUCUAUUUUUUUGUCUUGGACUGAUCUCUAACGAAUUAAAUGUGCAUAGUUUAAGAACUUUUAGUUAUUUUAAACAUAAAUUCAAUCAGAAUCCAAGGGCAUUCUUGUCCAAUCAUAAUCAAAAGUAUUGAGAACUUAAUAAAACGCAUCGAGAGUAGGAGUAGAAAUGCUGAAAAGAGAAAAUCCUUCAUUUUCCUUGAAUUUUUCAUCAGAUUUCUCUACAAAAUUUCUAAAUUCAUUGAUUUCACUCCUGAGUGGCCAAAGUUUCAUCAAAUUUUUUGUGUCUAUCUCAACUAUGAAAUCAAUGAAUUUGGAAAUUUUAUGGAGAAAUUUGAUGAAGAGAUUAAGGAAAAUGAAGGGUUUUCUUUUCUCAGAACUUCGAUUCCUAUCUUCGAUACUUUUGACUAAGUUUUUGAUGCUUUUGAUUAAUAAUUGACAAAAAUGUCCUUCGAUUCCAUCUGGAUUUGAAAGUACUCUCUCUCAAUAUUCUUUCCUCUGAAUAUAGGAUUUCCAUUCCUUCGAAUAAUCAUGGACCUAAUCACUGUUACCAAUGAUGCGUCUAAUCACUCUAAUGAUGUGCUUAAUCUAGUCCCAACCGCACACUAUAACCAUGUUACGGCAAUAGGACAAACUAAAGGAAGCAAGAAUUUAUUGAUCUUGUUGCCAAAUUGGCAAUAAGCUGAAAUUGGGGAUCAAUAUCAGGUGGAACCACGACAGUCAAUUGUCAAGUAGAUCUCGUUCGAGCAAGUCCAUGCCAAAUCCUAGCAUAUGAAGUAAGGCUCAUAUUUGAAUAGAUUCGAUUUUUAAAAAUUUAAUGGUCCAAAUUAUAUCAUAUCAUUUGGUAAAAUAAUAUGGCACAAUCUGAACUAUUAAAUCUGUAAAAUCAAUCUACUCAAGUUUUGGCCCUGAAGUAAAGAUAUCAUAUGCUACUGCUAAGGACUGAAGGAAGAUAGGCACACCACUUGACCCAAGGGUGCACUACUAUCCACCUUUAGAUUGAGGGAAAAUCUCACCCUUAAGUUAAUUUUUAGAGUGAGAAGACCUAAUCGCACCCGACAUUAUAUUUGCAUAUCCUAAAAUUGAUUUUAUUGAUGCAAAUCCUCUUCGUUAAAUGAACUCAACUUAUCAUUAAGAGAGUGGUAACAGGGCUUGAUUUUUCCCACUUAAAUUCCGACCUUGGUUUUGCUUUAAAGAUCAUAUUUACUGCAGAAAAUUUAAGGAACAAAGUACUAAAUUAUUAUAGGAUUAAUUUUUUGAAUACCAGCAAUACCCUUUGCCACCCAUACUUACCAUCCAAAUGGCCCUUUUUUUUGUUGGGGGGGGGGUGUGUGUGUGUCUAAUGUCAGCAUUAGCAAAUGUGUCUAAAUUUUAUCCUUGACAUCUGAAAAUAGUGAUCACAUCGCCUUACCACAAUCUGGUGAAACAGAUUAGGAACAUGAAGAGCAGAGAAUGGUCAUGCAAGCUGCAACAUAUCUGGAGGGAAGGAAAUCGAUGUGCAGAUUGGCUAGCGAAGGAAGCAAUCCGUUUACAGUCAUCAAGCGGACGAUUAGAAGAGCCACCGGAAGGACAAAGGGAGUUACUAGGAGCUGAUAUAAUUGGGGUCACAACCCCACACUUAAUACCAUGUUAAAAGGCAGUGGCCUCUCCUUUGUAUUCAAAAAGUAGCACUAGCAACCGAACAACUUGACUUGCAGCGAAGAAUAGGGCAAGAACCGACAGUUCCCAUUGUGGGAGGGAACCUAAAUCUAAUGGACUGACAAUUUCAGUUUUUGGUACUAAACUUGUAAACAUUAGUCUCUUUUAUAAUUAUAGUGGCGAACUAAAUGUAUUAUCUCCUUAAGACUAUUUAAUAACGUAACAUCCUUGCCCAAUGAGUCAAUGACAAGAUUUCAUAUGUGGAACUUACAUCCUGGCAAGUUCAUGAAUGCAAUAUAAGUAAUUGUGUACAUGUUUACUACAUUCUUUUGCGUACAACAAAUUUUUUUAAAAAAAAAAAUUUUGCCGAUACCUUUUUUUUGGCUUUUCUUUAUUGUAGUCUACUAUCCAGAAUUAGUAACUAACCUUAUUUUACGCUAAAACCCUAGUUUCUUUUUGGGUUUUCUAUCACCUCAAAGAUUAGAAACUAGCCUAAUUUCCAAAAUUUUGAGGUUCUCCUUGUAAAAAUAUAUGUAAACUUCAUCCUCCAUACUACAUACAUCUACCGUAAAAAUUCACCAAAUCCAUCUCACUUGCUUCAUCAGAACAUCGUAUUUAUCUUUUCAUGGACUUCUUUUUUCCUCACAUUCCAAAUCCAGUGCCUCUGCGUGUGUUUGUCUGUUCCUUUUUAACUCUUUUUCUCCAAAAGAGGCAUAAAGUUCAUGCUAGAGUUUGCCUUCUUCAUAUUCAGUGCUUGAGUUUUCUUUAUGCUGUCAUGAACGAGUACAUUUGUCACUGUCAAUCGUAGAAUGCUAGGGCCAAAUUGAAUUGCCAAAUAUUAAUGUUUCUGGCCAUUAAAAUAGUAGCCUUUGUCAUUGCCAAUUGUAGAAUGGUUGGGCCAAAUAUUCUGUUUGGAUAGAGUGUUAUUUGAAAUAUUAUUUAAAAUAAUUACUGUAGCACUUUUUGUGAUAUGAUAUAUGUGAGAUAAAAAGAUGAUUAGAAAUAUAAAAAGGUGGGUUGGAAAAUGUGUUUAUGAUACAAGCGAAAUAUUAUUUGGAAAAAAGGAGCUAUCCAAACAAACCGGAAUUGCCAAAUAUUAAUGUUCAACUGAGUGAUCGUGUGUCCUUUUUUUUUUUUUUUUUGGGAAAGCUGGUCGUUGACUAUUGUUAAUUUUAUAACCUGUACUACAAAAAAAAAAUUUUUAACUAGCAAUUACAUUGACUACUUUUCUUGAAGACCAUUGCCAUUUCCCGUCCACCCUUAUUUGGUAAACUCAAAUAAGCCCCUCCAAGAGUACAAUGUGCAGAAUUGGCAAUGGUAACUUGGUUCAGGUUGUGGACAGUAGCUAAGGAUGGAUUUUUUUUUUUUUUUGAAGCAAAAUUUUAACCUUUCAUUGAUAUCAUGAACAUUUGUGGACUUAUAUACAUCAAACAAACGCCGUUGACAGCAUAAAGAAAACAUCAAUCACUGAACAUGAAGAAGGUAAACAUAUUUCCGUAACCAAGUUCCAAUUCGCCUUAGUUCUUGGAAUUUUUGCCCCGACCAAUAACUUAUAAUUUAGACUUAAAUACGUAUUUGUGACUUUCAAAAUCUUAAACUUUGCAAUUUCAAUUUAGCGUAUGGCUAAAGUGACGCUGUGAAAGACUGAAAGUCAUGUUUAAGAUGUGGAAAGUUGCAAAAGGGGAAAGAAACAAAAGGCGAGAAAAGUGACAGACUUACCAGCAAUGAUCCCAAAUGACAAUUGUGAAGGGAAGAGGGGGAAUAGGUUUUAGAGAUUUAGAGGCUUUCAACUCAGCCUUGCUGGCUAAGCAAAUUUGGAGAUUCUUAAUAGCUCCAAAUUUGCUAGUAAGCAAGGUAAUGAAGGCAAAGUACAUGAAGGACGCAAACUGGAUGGAAAAAAAUCCCUCCACCUCAGCUUCAUGGUGUUGGAAGAGCAUCCAUAGUGCAACAUCACUGCUGUUAGCUGGACUUUGGAAAAGAAUUGGGGACGGCAAGUCUGUGAGUAUAUGGGGUGACAGAUGGAUAGUUGGUUCAGAAAAUGGCUUUGUAUCAGACACAAAACCUGUGGAAAGCAAGUUGGAAUGGGUAACCGAGCUGAUAGAAGAAGGGAAGUGGAAAACUGAACUUAUCCACAAGUGGUUUAGUACAAAAGAUGCUGAGCUCAUCAAAGCCAUCCCGACAAGCAUAGGAAGAAGAAAGGGUAAGCUGGUAUGGAGCCAUUCCAAAUCAGGAAUAUACACUGUAAAGAUGGGUUAUGCGGUAGCAAGACAACAGGAAGUCAAACCGGGUAGUAAGAGAGGUCAUGAUGCAGAGACAAGUUGGGAGAUAGGAAAACACAGUGUGGAAGAAGUUAUGGCACAUGAAGGUGAAGGCAAAACUAAAACAGUUCAUGUGGAAAUGCUUGCAAAACUAUCUACCUGUCAACGAAUUGCUGUAAAAAAGGCUUGGAAGAGAAGAAGGAAGAUGUGGCUGCUGUGGAGAAGACAUGGAAACCAUUGAGCAUUUGUUCUUCUUCUGUGAAAAUGCAGUGGAAGUAUGGAAGUUGGCACCGGUAAGAUGGGAUGGGUUACAUGAAAAACAACAGAAUUUUUGGAUUUGGUGGGAGAAAGUUACCCAAACGCUUUCCAUGAAUCAAGGUCAGGAUAGAGUAAGUCUUACCAUUAAUAUCCUCUGGCAAAUUUGGAAAACCACGAACAAAAAAAUCUUUGAACAGGCAAACCAGGAUCCAUUCAAAAUGGUACGGAAGGCACAAGAUGAGUGGCUAGAGUUUUAAUAGGAAAGGGAGCCAGAACAGAAGGUGAGCGUAGGGAGGAUGAACAAAGACAUACCCACUAGUAGGGAGCGGCCAAGGAAGAAAGAGAUAAGAUUGUAUACAAAUGCGGCUAUAUCAGCAAAAAGAGUUAGGACAGGACAAGGGAUAAUAGCAAGGAAUUGAAAAGGACAGAUAAUGAAAGCUAAAGGAAUUGUCACACAGGGGAAGGGGACAGCAAGCAAAGAAGAAGCUCUUGCCGUAAGAAGUGCUCUACUGAUGGCCAAACAAGCAGGAUGGACAAAAAUUAUAGUCCAUACAGACUGCAAAUCAGUGGUUGAGCAGAUCAAUAGAGGCAGUGAGUAUGACUACAGUACUGCAACUAUCUUAGAAGACGUACAAGAACUUAGUUUAGGCUUUGAAAGAUGUUCUUUUGUGUUUAUCGCUAGAACUGAAAAUCAAAUCAGCCAUGCACUAACACUAUAUGCAGUAAAGCUAGUACAUGAUAUUGACUGGGAGCAUGAUUUUUCGAUAUGGCUGACUGACUUAGUUAAGAAGGAUAUGAGGUUAGUAUCCCUUUUUUGUAACUAAUCCUGGUAAGGUCAAGUGUUAAUAUUUAUAAAUUGUUAUCGUCUGUUGAAAAAAAAAAAGUAAGCAAAUGAAAAUUAAAAAGACGAAAAGAAAAUACAUAUGUAAAUAAAUGUUCAGCAAAACUUUUAUUUAAUCAUGGACUAGAGGCUUCACAAAUAAUUCGUAUGCCGAGUUGAGUCUAAGUUUAUCAUAGAUACUAACUGUAAAUAUUAAAUUACAAAAGAUUAAAAAAAGUUUCCGGGGUAUAUUAAGAGAAUAAAUAAAUUUUCUUGUACCUUAAGAAAUUUAAUAAACAAUGAACGUAAUUAGUACUUUCUAUUUCCUUCAUUUCCUUGUUUAGAACCACUAAUUAACUGUGACUAGAGGACUCUGACUGACUACAGGACUACAGGACCAUGACUUAGUAGAAAUCUAUGCAACUGCAAGUUGAAACCUAUGAAAGUUGUUCUAUGCAACUCAAAAGCAUUUAAACCAGACAAGAAAAUUGAAACGGAUUCAAUUGAAGAAGGGGAAAAAAAGUAGUAGCUAGUGAAAUUUUGGAAGAUUUGUAAAGAAAAACUAAUGGAGUUUGUCUCUUACUUAUUUUUUAGUGUAUUUUGUUAGCAUUUGUCGGCGUAUUUCUUUACAAGCUUCAAUAAUCUGUUUAUGCACCGUUCCAUUCAAGUACAUAAUUUGUCGCUUUUUAUUUUUUCCUUGUCGCUUCUACAUAUAUAUAUAUAUAUAUAUAUAUAUAUAUAUAUAUAUAUAUAUAUAUAUUUAAUAGGGUGGUGUUCUACUUUAACCAUUUUUUUUGGGAUAAUUUCAGAAACCUCCCUUGAGGUUUCUUACUAUUCCACUUAGUUCCCUUGACAUUUUAAAAAUUGCAAUUGCCUCCCUUAAUUUGACACUUUGGUAACCAAACUUUAAAAUAGAGUCAAAAUUUAAUGAAUACCCUAAAAUGCCCUUUUCUUACAAAAUUCAAUUUGUUCUUCUAAACAAAAAGAGCGUCAAGUUUUUCAUGUCAAUAUUUGUUAUUUGAUAAUCAAUUAUAACAAUAAAUCUUUUGUUGUAAUAUGAUAUUUUUCAUAUUGCUUUAUUGGGAAUAUAAAUUCUUUUUAUGAUAGAGAAGAAAGUGCUAUUUUGUUUCUUUUAAAGUUCAUGGAGUAUUUUUUUAAUAAAAAUUUAUGGACUAGUUUAGUGGUAGAACUAUCAUAAUUUGAUAGUGAUUUUGGGUCAUUUGGUUUUAACAUUGUUGAUUUAUCCUUGAUUUUGAUACUAAAUAAAAGAGCUACAAAAAAAUUGGAGGAUAUUAAAAGUUGUCAAAAAAAAUAUAUUACUAGUUUAACGUUUAAUUUGGAUAGAUAUUUGGAACAACAUUGAUAAUUCUUCUAUACUUCUAAUAAAAUAUAAGAAAAAAUGAAUAAGAAGGGAAAAGGUAAAAAAAAAUUAUAAAAUCCUUUGCAUAAACAUGGCAAUAAAAGAGUUUUAUUAAAAAUAUUAAGAUUAAUAUUGUCAUUUUAAAUGGAUAAGGGAGGUAGGUGUAAUGUUUAAAACCUUAGAAGAACCAAGUGGAAUUAUUAGAAACCUUAGGGGAGGUUUAUGAAACUAUCCCUUUUUUUUUCCCUCUCCAUUAUCCUAAUAAACCACGGACAAAUACCGUAUGAUUUUGUCACCUGUGGUUUUGCAAAUACAAACCUACUGCUUCCCCUCAAUUCCUUCCUCGAUCUUUCUGUACAACGUACUAUCAAGUAUCAAUACAGCACACCAACCAGUUUACAACUUUCCUAUCUCUAUCUUCCACCUGCAUAUAAUUCCUUUCAUCUAAUCAAUUUGAGAUGAGCAGUAAACUUCCCCUCAAUUCUGUGGUGGACGCAUUCUGUAAUAUCCACUGGAAGUCAGACAAGAAACUCGAGCAUUAUUAACAAAAUGGAUCCACUACAAUCAGAGGAAUAUCGUAUGGCUUUUAGUGUUGGAAUUCAGUAGCUGCUCCGCCUUAUCCCCAUUACGUAAGUUUAAUGAAAACAAUAAGUUACAGCAUACAAGAGGUUAUGCAGAAGAUUUGCACCCUGUAGAAAUGAAAUCUGAGCAGCGUACUGACUUAUACGCGUGAAGGGAUUGUGAACCUGUAACUGGGCAGACCCACAAAAAAAUUUUUGAGAGGAAUAUUUUCUGGAAUGGCAAAGCAUGCUCAGGAUGGUUCCUCAUGCGUUCAUAAGUUUCAAUCUCACUAACACUUCCCUAAAUCGGAAACAUGUCAACCAUACCACUUCCUGUAUAUUCUCCACCAUCAUCAUCACAACCACCACCAUCCGCAGCCCUCACCAUCCACCACCACCACCUGUCCUUCUCCUCCGCCCAUCAGAAUCACCACCACCACUGGCUUCAAUUUGAUAAGCAUCAUUAGCUGUCCUUCAUUCCAGUUCACUCUGUCAUAUUUAAAUGUUCCAGUGACUUUCUUUCUCAUAGUGUUGCUGGUUAGUAAAGUUUCAUUGACAACAAGUGCCUUCUACCGUUUCCAUAUGUUCCAGCUUUAGCUGACCAUUUUUACUUGGAUUCUUUUUCCUAUUUUGGGUUGCCGUGGAGGGAUUGGGGUGCAGGGGUGAGACAGGGUGAUCAGUAAGAAGAGGUAUUCAUAAGAUUCAGUUAAAAUCAGACAAGAAAAUCAUGCAUUAAUAGUAAAAUGAUACGGCUUCAAUCUGCAGAAUAUCUCAGGACUUCUAGAAUCGAAAUUAAAGCACCGACUCCACCUUAUCCCAAUUAUAUAAGGAACAGAAGAAGAACAAAUUUAAUGAAAAAACGAAGUUGUAGCGUACAAGAUGAAGAGCGUUCAACUACUACUACUUAGAACUCUUCUUUGCCAUGCAAAAAAAAAAAAACUCUCCAGCCAUGUGUGUUGACUCACAAUUGAUCUUCUUAUAGACAUUCCUUAAGUGUACUGUGGGCUUCAAAUUAAUGACAAGUUAAUUUGAUUAGAUUUAUCCCAAAGUUAGUAAACUUCUCGCAGUUCAAAUAGCCUCUUCAGCUUCAUCUGUUAGUAAUUAACUGCAAUUUGGCUUAAAAAUCAAGAAGUCUAGGAAUAGAUUUAUGCCGAGAUCUUCUCAUACCAAAAUAAGAUCCUGUUGUAUGAUAUUUACUCUUUUUGCUGUUUUUGCAAGCUGUUAAAAUUAAAUGCUCAUCAACUAUCGUCUCCAUUUUCUCCUUCUCCAAGCAGAAAAUUUAUAAACAAGCUAGUAGAACUAGAGAGCAUCCCAUGUUCUUAGAUCCUAUUAUAUUAAACACCCUGAAUAUCAUGCUUGAAAACUAUAAAUUCAACAGUGUAAAUUUAUCAUCAAUCAAAAGAUAAUACGACCCCAUUCUAUCAAAAUGACUAACCAAAUAGAUUAAUUACCAAAAAAUAAAAGGCAGAAGAGUUGCAACUUAUAGAAUUGCAUUCUGAGCAAAAUACUGACAUGUACAUAUGAUGAGAUUAUGUUCCAUUACUUGAGCACACCAGCAAUUUUUUUAUGCUGAGGCUGAUUGCUUCCAUGUUCUUAAGUUUCAACCUGAGGAAAGCUUCCCAAAAUUGAAAAUAUUGACUUCAUCAAUUCCACUUCCCAUACGUGCUCUCAUCCCUUAUGUUUCCUUAACACUUUUAUUAACCAUAUAAUUUCGACUAAAUGUGUCAAAGCAUUGUUAUCCAAUCUAAAACUUCAUAUUUAGAACAACCUUUCGUGUUUCUCAAAACAUAUACAUUUGCUAUCGAUAUAAAUGGAAUAGAAAAUUUAGGCACUAAUUUAGGUCAAGCCAAAGCAUACAUAGCAUACAUGGAGAUCAUCGCGUGACCAUGCAGUCAUGGCCUUUAUCUCUUCGGCUAAUUGACGAUCAUAUCUACUCGAAAUUGACAGUAUAGCGUUAAAUGUAUGUUUCUGCUAGCCAUAAUCCGCUCGGACAAGCUAUUAACUACAAACUGAAAUUCUGACUUUUCCACGCCUAGUCCUAUACAGGUGCUAACUUCUUCGUUUUGCCCUCCAUGUCUUGUUACAGAACAUUAUUUGUAAACUUAGUAAAGUCUCAGUUUGCUUAGCAUUUUAAGCCUCAUGAUAUCCAAAGAUUCAGGGAUAUAUGAUCUAUAUUAUGCAGAAUAAGUCAGCAAUAUGAAACCACCACCUGGUUAUUAGUUUUCUCCAAGCAAGUUGCAUUUGUCAACCGAUGACUAAUAUUCUGUAAGAAUAGAGCAAACCAGCAAAUUCCAAACAGCAGAUGCUAUGUUGUUUAGAUCUCAUCUCAUGUGGCUCAUUCACUUGAAAAUUAGCCAACUAAGUAGUAUGAGAUUUAGAUCUCUUCAUAUGGCAUGAAAUCCAAAAAAAAAAAGUUCAUACAUCCAUAUUGUAGUAGGCCAGACUUACCUAUCUCCUUAGCAGUUGAGAUAGCAUAACUAGAAGAUGCAUCUUUUGUGUGGUCUUUAGGAUCUGAAAAAGGUGUUGAACAAAGAACUGUUGAUCAAGUGGCUCUGGAGCAGGUUUCAUGAAUCUGCACCAAGAAAUGGUGGUAAUUCCAGCAGUGCUUGCUACUGUUGCUGAGGCAACACUCCAGAAUUCCUGAUGCGUCUUUGUUAGAAUUAUCUGCGCAAAUAUCACAUUAAGUUCAAUUGCAAUUCUAGAUAUAUCUUCAUAGAUUGAGCAUGCUGCAUUUAUGAAAUGCCCAAUUGCAUCUUUUCUUAGUUGCUGCACAUAUUGGGCAGACCUGGAAUGGAAUGGUCAAAAAAACCAUCAAAUUGCCACUGAGAAUUGAAAACCAAGAGAAUCAGCAUCCAAGAAAAAAUCAAUACUAUUAUUAAUAUAGAUGUAAUCCAUGCCUGGCUCCUGUUUAAUAAGGUACUUGUCGGUUUCUUUCGAAUUAUUGGUUUGUGGUCCCAUGCAUCAAUGAGUUUGUGUGGUUACACUUACACAAUACCGUAUCACUCGAGCUUUUUCUAAACAAAUCCAGUGGGGAAAAGAAACAUGCCGCUGUAUUUGGGCUUCCGUUGCUAUUCAUUCUAAUAAAUCAAUACUAUUAUUAAUAUAGUUGAGCUUAUUCUAGAGUCCAUAGGGUUUCUUUUGUUCCCUUUUAUUAUAGAUUAAAAUUAACAAGAAAACAUUCUGGGUUUGAAUGUUCUGUCUAUAAGAUUAUUUAGUGGGAAAAACAUUAUGGUUACAAUAUAUGAUGCAGUCUAGUAGUUGUUUCACUUGCAAACAACUUGGAUGGAAAUUUUUCUUUUUUUGCAUAAGAAAUCUAAGUGGUUAUGGGGAACUUGUUCUGUGAGCUAUUGCAUGUUGUGGCUCAAUGUUUUCCAAUAGUUUGGCUGCAUCCUCAAUCAUUUUGCGUCUAUUUAAUUCUCUUUUAUUCGACCAUAUGAGAUUAAAAUCAUAAGAUUGACAUGGGUAUUCUGGUUUAGCUCUUUACAUGUCAAUUUCGUGAUUAUUUUAGCACAAUUUUCAUUUAUAGUUAAGAUUAAGAAUUAUGGAUAAAUAUGGAUGCUUUAAUUAGCCCCGUCUCAACGCGAUUAUUUAAUUGGAUAAUAUAUGCAUUGAGGGUCAACUUUAAGGUUUUGGAUCUCUUUUUAUGCUAAACAUUGACAUAUUCUAUAUGAAUCCUUCUAAGAAUUUUAUGAACAAAAGUGCCAUUUAUCUGUUUUGCUCUUCUAUAUAUGAAUGAUAUGGAGAAGAGUUUAUGGACAUAAAAUUUUUGUCUCAGUUAAAUAAUUGAUGAAUUUUAAUGAAUGGAAUCACCAAAGUAACUUUUAUUAUAUUUAUUGAAUUAUUUAAUAAGGAUUCUGAGAUGUUCAUGUUUCAAAGUUCUGUGUUAGUUUUCAGCUUGAAUUUUUAUUAAAAGUUGAAAUUGCUUUUUGAUAUAUGAACCUUUGGUAGUAUUAUAAUUACUGAUUGUCUUCUUGGUUCAUCUACUUGUGAAGAAUAUGCCAUCUACCUGUGAAAUUGCGUUUUGAUAUAUGUGCAUCACUUUGUCUUCUUGGUAUUAUAAUUAAGAAGAUGUUGUUGUUGUCGUCGGAAACACGCAGAUCAUAUGUAAUUUGUUUGACGACCAAUACUAUAUAUAUGGUUCACUUCAAGGGAUGUUUUAUGAUUACUAUGUUUACACUGUUCCAUAUUUGGGAUGCAUCUUUCCUUUUCAGCGUCUAAAGCCUAUUAUUGGAUUGAAGGAAACUUGAAUUUAAGAUCGAAAUUGAAUUUUGUGCCAUAAAAAGUCAAUAAUUUUUUUUUUGGAGUGAAUUACUGUACUACAUCAUUCUUGUUAAUCAUAAGUUGGUGAGUUUUUCUCCUUCAAGGACUUUACUAUUGACAGGUAGCUCAUUCAAUUGAUUUAUCAAACAAACUGUUUUAGAUCUUUCAGGUGACUCUUGUCAACUCCACAAUCCAAAUGUAAUCACCUACCUUUUACAUUUAUGAACAAUGCUCAAAAGUCCCAUAUAGGUUAUAUACACUUGAAAAGACUAUACUCCCUCCGUCCCACUUUGAUAGUCCUGUAUUCCUUUUUCAUCUGUCCCAAAUUUAGGGGUGGCAAUUCGGGUCCAAAUCAGGUUGGCGGGUUGGGUCUGACCCGACCAGUCAGAAAAUCUGUUAACUCGAACCCGAUCCGCCAACCAGUGACGAGUCAGGUAUACUGACCCGAAUCUGAAAAUUUCAGGUUGACGGGUUGGCGGGUCGAUCCGAAAUGACCCGAAACUUAAUUUUAAUUUAUCACUGUAAUUUCUAAUAAAAUUAAUUUCUCACAAAACUAAUUACAUAAUCAAGUAAUAAAAAUUUAAAUAAAUAAUUCCAAACCAAAUCUAAAAUAAAUUAAACACCAUAAAAGUGUUUUAUCCCAAACAAAAUAUAAAAUAAAUUAAAACAGUAUAAAAGUGAAAAAUAAUAUAAUAUAUUAUUUGUCUAAAUAUAAUAAUUUCAACUUCACACAAAUUAAAUAAAUUCAUUUAGGAUUAAGUAAUUAAUACCUUUGAAAAAAAGAAUAACUUAGUUUAGUUAGAUUAAAUUAUUUUUAUGUUUAUUAAAUUAUUUUUAAUUCGUAAACGGGUCAUAUCGGGCCAUAUCAAGUCAUCACGGGUUGACCCGAAAUCGACCUGUUUUCUUUUCGAGUUCAUCGGGUUCAACCCGAUUCUGACCUGAAUUCCCGAAACCUCAACCCAAACCCAUUAAUUUCGUGUUAGGUUCGUAUCGUGUUUUCAGGUCGUGUCGAAAAUUGCCACCCCUACCCAAAUUGUAGUCCAUUUUCCAAUUAAAGAAUGUAGUUGUAUUUUAAUUUUCCUAAAAUACCCUUAUUCAAUGUAAGUAGUUGUUACUAUAAACCUAUCCCAUUUAAUAAGAGUUGAUUCUUUUUUUACCAUCAAUUGAAGUUCCCAUAAAGUUGUACCAUAUUUAAUAUGAUGGUAUUUUAGAAAAAUAGCAAUCUAAAUUUACUUUUCCAACAAAGUUAACUACUUUUUCUUAAACUGUGUGAAAAAAGAAACAGGACUAUCAAAGUGGGACAGAGGAAGUAAUUUAUAAUCGUAUAGUUGGGCACACCAACUUCCAUUUGCAUAAUUAAUGGUAAAGCAAUAAUGCACUGGAUGUACGAAUCCGAACCCAGGUAUGGUUUAAAUCGAGGCCUUCUAUCAUACAACAAAAAUUUAUACGUCCCACAUAUGGCAUCGAAAACAUUAUACAUAACAUGAUUUGAAUCUUAUAUCUUCUUUUUUAGAUCAAUCUUAUCUCUUAACCUUUCAGGGAUGGUCACAUUAGCAACCUUUCCUAUCCAAAUUCGACACACAAUUUCGUCAAAAUUUCAGGAAGAAAACAAUAACAAGGAGAAAAUGAAUAAAUGACUCGAGCAAAGCUACAUAGGUCUUUAACUAAAGCUGAAAUUUUGAUGCAGUAAAGAGCGAUCGAGCAUGGGGUUUUGUUUCCAAUUCUCUGUUGAAUGAAAGUUCUUGUUACUUGGGGAAUUUUGCAUGUUCAGUUAUUGGGUAGUACCGCUGAAUAAUAGGAUACUCAUGAACACGAAAUGGGCCGACCCAAAAUCUUAGUCUCAAGCUAUUUUAUGGCGUCAUUCUGAUUGAGACGCCAGUCUAGGAGAGCAUGGGGCCACAAAAAGUUGGGGAAAAAAAAAAAAGGUUUCUAGUGGGGCCCUGGGGAAGAUUUUGAUUUUUGAGUGCUCUCUGCUUGUGAACUGUGAACUGCUUGGGUGAGAAUUAUUUAAACGAGUAUUAGUUUUAUUUUUGUUUAAUAAUUGGAUUUAAAUACGGUACUUUUUUUUUUUUUUUUUUUUUUUCAAUGAUAGAAUUUAGACACAAGUUUAAUUCAGGACAGAAAUUUCCGGGACAUUGCGCUAUAAAGAUAGAUUGGCAACUUAACUAUCAAAGUUCUAAAGGACGUGUCAAAACAAACGGAGGGUCCCGCAUGCCGAUUCACCCCGUAACAAAGUUCCAAAGAAGUGUCAAAACAAACGGAGGAUGCCAAAACAAACGGAGGGUCCCGCAUGCCGAUUCACCCCGUAACAAAGUUCCAAAGUGUCAAAACAAACGGAGGGUCCCGCACUAUCUUAUAUCUGAACUUUAAAUACACAUCUUAUAUUUGCCUUAUACUUGACUAUUUACUAGGGGUGGGCACGGGUCGGGUACCCGCCCCUAACAUGAUUUGGCUGACCCGACCCUAAUAUAUCGGAUCAGCCAUUUUGCGACCCUAACCCGUUCCUAAUAUUUUCGGGUACUCGAAAAAAAGGGGCGGGUCAUAGGGUACCCGCCCCUAAAAAAAAACUAUUUUUCAAUAAAAAAAAUUUAUUUUCUACUUAAUAUCAACAUGUUUUUCAAUAAAAAACAUGCUUUUCCAAUUAAUAUUGGUAGAGAUAUUGUAAUUAAAGUCCAUACAUCACCAUUUUCACACAUUUUAUCCAAUAAUCAAAUCGAUCUCAUAAAUUUAGUACAUAUUAGAAUAUCUAAUGGACAAAACGAAGUUUCAUAAUAAUUUUGAGUACAUCACCAUUUUCACACAUUUCAUACUUCUACAACACAACAAACAUAAGGAUAAUAAGUAUUUGGUAACUUCUCCAAGGAUAUUAUGGUACAAGACCGCAUCUCAAAUAAGUCAAUUGUGAAAUCAAGUUCGGAAAAGAAUUGAAUAGAACUAAUUAUUUUUGAAAAAAAUAUAACCAAAAUAAUGUUAAAAAUCUUCCCCAACUUCUUUACAUCUUUGGAAUAGACCUUAUGGUAUUAAGGUGAUGAAAAAGAAAAAUAAAUUUCUUACACUAAAUAAAAGAGACAAAUUUAAGACAUAUAAUUGCAAAUGAAUGACACAAAUAUUUUAAUUAUCUAGCUAACAGAAAAUUGAGACUCCAAACAAAAAUCUUUGAUUGAAUUGAUGCAAGAUUUGCAGGAAAGAUCGAUGGAGGUAGAAUAAAAAUAAAAAAGAUGAAAGGGAUGAACAAUUUUUAUAACAAAGUUUCACAAAUUUUUUUUUUCAUUUUGUUCAUAUUUCACCGAGAAUAUUCACUUUCUUCAAAAAAAAAUGAGAAGAGUAGAUCAUAUAGGAUUAGAAUAUGAGGCUGCGAGCCACUUCACUUGCACUUAGGAUUAAAAAUUACAAAAUUAUAAAAUGAUCCCUACUUUUUUAAUAUUUAUAAAAUAUACCCUGCGGGUCGGGUACCCGCGGGUUUUUAUUUUUCUGAUCCGUAUCCGUACCCGAUUUUUCGGGUACCCGACCCUCAUCUGCCCCGCUAAGAAAAAUCGGAUCGGGUAUCCUAUUUUUCGGAUCGGAUCGGAUCGGGUUCAUCGGGUUUUCGGAUCGGCGGGUUUUUUUGCCCACCCCUACUAUUUACUAGAAAUUUAACAACAGCAUAAAUACUUUAAAUGUCAAUACAUAUUAUUAGCUUAGUUGAUAAAUACAAGUUGCUUCCUCGUACAGAAAUCGCGUGUCUAAGGGCCUCAAGCGAUGCUUUAAUGGUAUAGUAUAAGAUAGUUUGAACAACCAAACAUGGAAUAGCACCAAAUAAAGUAUAAGAUAGUUUAUGCUCAGCACGCCAUUGAUUCCUUAGACUACAAAGACCAGUAACUUCCCAAUGUACCCAGCAAUUGGGCUAGUUUUUUGUGGAUUUUCACUUAAAUGAAUUAUAUUUAAUCCGCUCAACUUUAGAUUGGAUUGAUUUUAGAUUAGGUCAUAUUGAGUCAUCUCAAAUCCAUAAUCAAAACAUUGUCCAACAUAUUAAUUAAUACAUUGUGAUGUUUUAUAAACUUUCUCUUGUACAUUUACACAUACAAAAAGAUUUUAUUCACACAUAUAAAUAUAUUUUCACAUACAUAAAUAUAUUUUCACACACUCACUACCUAAGUUCUUUGGAAACACAUCAUAAAUAGAAUAAUAUUUUAUAUUGCCUGUAUUGCAAAAUUUGAAUAAUAAAUUGUAUAUUGAAAUAAAUUAGCUAAAAAAAUUUGUUUACCAUAUGCCUUGUAACACUACUAAUUGCUAGAAACUUAUUUUUUGUUUACCUUAUACUCGUCUUCGAUCUCCAGGUCAUUGUCAGGUGAAAGUGGCGUUCGCAUGGGUCCCGCGUAUUGUCAGAAGAUUAGCUUAAGUAGUAAUGGGUGGACUUAGAAUGGAGGGGUUCCAAAAUUGUGUCAAUUCACUUGAUAAUUCCUUAAAAAAAAAAAAAAAAUCACUUGAUAAUGCCCCGGUGAAAAAAAGUGAUAACAAAGAAGGGACUAAAUUCCUUUGAAAAAAAGGUCACUUGAUAAUGACCGAUGACGAGACUACAUCCGAGAUUUCCAUCCGAGAUUUCUCGCUUAUUUUAAAACAAAAAAUUAAAAAAGGUGCCAGACCAUCGCACCUGUUCGUAUACCUAUGUUGUAAAGAAAGAAUGCUUUGUAUACCUGAGUAACAAAAAAGAUAAUGACCCGGUGAAAGGAUGGUCAGGCAGAGCACAUACCUAGCUAGGACUUUAACUACGUAUGACGUAUCUUGUACUUGACCUAAUACUAGAACUUUAACAACAGCAUAAAUACUUUAAAAUGCCAAAUGCCAACACACAUUAGUUUGGUUGAUCAUAAGUAUAGGUGACUUCCUCGUAGCUAGAGAAAUCGUGUGUCUAAUGGUCUCAGGGGUAAAUGUUCUAGUGACAGUCAUUAGAGGCGAAAAUACCCUAAAACAAAAAACUUUAAAUAGUCAAACAUGAAAUAGCACCAAAUACUACUGUAUGAGAUAUUUUAUGCUGAGCAUGAUGCAAUUGGUUCCAUAGAUAACAAGGACCAGUAACUUCCCGACAUGAUUAAUUUAAAUGAAUUGUAAAGCCAAACUAAAAAUUCAUUUUUUUGAUGCUUUCUUCAUUUUUUUUUAAUUGUAGUCAAACCUCACGACUAAACCAAAGCAGUGCAUUAUGAUAUUUAUGUGUACAUAGAGCAAGGUACAACUAGGGGUGGAGCUGAUUCAAGUUACUCGACUCGAGCUCGAUAUGUACUCGAUCAGAAGCUCGAACUGCUCGUUAGAGCUAUCGAGUCGAGCUCGAGCUCAGAAAUUUGAUAUUCGAGAGCUCGACGAGCUCUAUCGAGUAUCACAUAAAAAAUUUUAAAAAAAAAUUAUAUAUAAAAUUACUAAUAUAGGUAAAUAAAUUCUGAGAAAUUACCGGUGAGUACCCUUAUCGAGUCGAGCUCGAGCUUUUUAAGGAUUUGAUCGAGCUCGAGCUCGAGCUGUGAUUCUCCGACUCGAUCGAGCUCGAGCUCGAGUAUAAUUAUAUUAUAGCCGAGUAGAGCUCGAGUAUAGCGGUACUCGAGCUCGACUCGGCUCGAAUACACCCCUAGGUACAACCUGACUUGGGUUCAAACUUUUUUUCUCUUACCUAUAUUUUUGGGAGUUCACUUAUAUAUAGAAAAUGACUUUGAAAAUGACGGUAACCAUGAGCUAAUUUGUAUUUGUUAUACAAGUCGUAUGCCGUUUAGAAUAAAAUUUUCUUAUUUUUAUAUCCAAUGGAUUAUAUUUGAACACUAUUAUAUACUAUCAAAAUAGAGAUCUGAGAUUGUCUGCCUAAAACAGAAAGUAGUCUAAUAAAGUCUUUCUUUAAUUUACAAACUAAACAAAUCACGAUUACUUUGAGUUAAAUUUUUCAAGUCUAACAAAGAUUAUCUAACUUUUUGCGUUACUUGAGAAAAACAAUGUAAUGGAGUUUGCUUCUGUUGAUUCUUGAACAAGUCCUUCUCCAAAAACUAAAGAUAAGGCUCUGCUAAAAAGAAUAAAAAUAAAGAAGGUAAGGUCCUCAUGUUGAAAUGAGUGAAGAUGUGGACAAAGUACCGAUUUAAAGGCGGUUCUUCACUUGACAAUAAUAUAUACGCACACUAUCACAAUGACCUGGUGAAGAAAGUGGAGCUCCAGCUCAUUGUGAAGUGAAGCUGGUGCUUGCAUGGGUCCUGCGUAUUUUGGGAACAGGGGCGGAUUUAAAGUGGGGGCACUGGCCCUUAAAUUCCUAUAAUACAUCUACAAUUUUGACAUAAUUUUAAAGGUGCCUCCAUAAUUUUUUUUAGAAAAAAUAUGAAAGAAUGGGUCACAAAAUUUAUAUCAUUCACUUUCCUCCUCUAGUUCCCAUUUUUCCACCAAUAGGGCCAAGUACCAAUUAUAUCAGUCAUUCCUUUUUGUCUCCCCUCCCCAAGUUCCCUUUACUCCUGUGGUCCCCCAUUUCCCUUCAUAAUCGGCUCCUUUUCUUCCACACUCAAGCCAACUACCUUUUCUUUUUAUCACUUCAUCCAAUUAUCAUUUACUUCCUUUGUCCCCACUCCCCAAUUUCCCUUCUCUCAUCAAUUGAUCUUCUAGGACUUGGGUCCGCCACAUUUUGCAGCUCUUUUCACCAACUUUAGGAGACCAUCAAAAUCAGGUUCUAAACAAUUACUUAUUAUUAUUAUUAUUUUAAAUUUGAUUGCAAAUAUAUUUCUAGAGUAUGAGACUAUUACUGUUUUAAAGAAAUUUAAAAAUUGAUUAGUUAAUGUAAUGACUAAUCAAUGGGUUAUUUGAUAAAUAUUUUAACUUGUGAAAUGGUGAUUUUAUGCAUGAAACUUUUUUUUUUUUGCUUAAAAAAUUAGAAAAAGAGUAGAUAAAAAAUUUUAAUAUUAUUUUUGUCUCCACUAAAAUUUUUUUCUGGCUCCGCCCCUGUUUGGGAAGAUUAGCUAAGUAGUGCUGUGGUAGAAUAUUAGAAGGUUGGGUUUCCAAAAUUGGCAUUCACUUGAUAAUGACCUGGUGCAGAAAGUCAAGACGAUCCGCACUCAUACGAACACCGUCGUCCGCUUUCUUCACCAGUCAUUGUCAAGUAAAGGUGGUGUUCGCAUGGGUCCUGCGUAUUGUCAGAAGAUUAGCUAAAUAGUAAUGUGGUAGAAUUAGAAGAGCGGGGCUCCAAAAUUGGCAUUCACAUUCACAGGAGUGUUUUGUCAUUGGAUAUUCUAUAAUUUACAUGCAUGGCUGCCUGGCUACAUGUUUUGUUUUAUAGAUUGACACUUACAGUUACAGGUGCCUGAAGGCAAUUGGCAUGGCAUGGCAGUGGCGUGUAAUUUUUUCCAGUCCUAGUGUCUGUGGCGCCCACCGGGCCACCACCUUAUCCGGUUUUUUUUUUUUUGGGGUAAUAAUUACCCUUUCCCUGGCCCCUGGGGACGCACCUACAAGGUGAGAUUCUUAGUAUGUAAAUGCUUGUGCGACGAUAUAAAUAAAGGCCCAGCCCAACACAACCGAGGUGUCUAACCCAUUGAGAAUUUUUCUUACCGGAGAAUUACCCGUCCCAGAAAUGUUGGGAGAACUCAGGCUUGCAGCUAUCAACUUCUUCUUGACCUUGAAGAAUUUCGCUCAGGGUCAGGGCUUCCCCGCAUGGAAAUGGUGGGAGUCUCGAAACGGGGCCGCCCAACAGUCGCCAACCGUGCAACUCCAACUCCAACCUGGUGCAGCAUCUCAACUUGCGGAGCAGCCGUCCCUGCCUACCUUCCGGCAACCUAAUAAUGGCGCUGAUCAGAACCCCAACUUCGUUGACUAUGUGAUGAAGAUGCAAUGGGCGUUGCUGGUCAUCGGAGUUUGUAUUGCAGCCUUUAGCGCCGCCUUGCAAGCUCUCCAAACUCCUGCACCUCUCCCUCCAACCUUUCACUGGUUUUGCAUGCUUCUGCAGCUGGCCGUUCUUGCUUUGUUGGUCUCCGUUUACAUCCGCCGCCGUUACGAGACGGCAUCUCUUGUCAUGGCACAUGUUGCAAUUUUCUUGGGCGCCACUGCAUUCAUGCUGGCCAUUGGAGUGACUUUUGCGGCUCCGCUCACUGGGAUAUCCAUCGCACUCUACUUCGUUGCAAUCCUCGCAAUCAUCUUUGCUAAUCGUUGAAUCUCCUGCUCAGGUAUUUGUUUAUUAACUUUUUCUUUUUCUU